CAUUGAAACAUCAGUUCUUAUACAAUCACCAAAGUUAAGCAAGAUCAAGCCUGGUCGGUACCUAGAUGGGUGACCGCUUGGGAAUAUCAGCUGCUGUAAU
Acanthosepion pharaonis is the source of this 100-nucleotide non-coding RNA. The record is from the annotation of a GenBank genome assembly. NCBI's taxonomy places the organism in Eukaryota, Metazoa, Mollusca, Cephalopoda, Sepiida, Sepiidae.